RNAcentral lists this ribosomal RNA (460 nucleotides) under uncultured bacterium. RNAcentral's name for it is "partial 16S ribosomal RNA". It matches the Rfam family "Bacterial small subunit ribosomal RNA", at positions 338 to 795 of the family's 1533-position model. The record is from RNAcentral.
CCUACGGGGUGCAGCAGUGAGGAAUAUUGGUCAAUGGGCGCGAGCCUGAACCAGCCAAGCCGCGUGAAGGAUGACUGCCCUAUGGGUUGUAAACUUCUUUUAUAUGGGAAUAAAAUGUUCCACGUGUGGGAUUUUGUAUGUACCAUAUGAAUAAGGAUCGGCUAACUCCGUGCCAGCAGCCGCGGUAAUACGGAGGAUCCGAGCGUUAUCCGGAUUUAUUGGGUUUAAAGGGAGCGUAGGUGGAUUGUUAAGUCAGAUGUGAAAGUUUGGAGCUCAACCGGAGAAUUGCAGUUGAUACUGGCAGUCUAGAGUACAGUAGAGGUGGGCGGAAUUCGUGGUGUAGCGGUGAAAUGCUUAGAUAUCACGCAGAACACCGAUUGCGAAGGCAGCAUGCCGGCUUACAACUGACGCUGAGGCACGAAAGCGUGGGGAUCGAACAGGAUUAGAUACCCCAGUAGUC